Molecule: ribosomal RNA, 113 nt
Filed under: Vairimorpha ceranae
Lineage: Eukaryota; Fungi; Microsporidia; Nosematidae
Description: Nosema ceranae partial small subunit ribosomal RNA
Rfam family: Microsporidia small subunit ribosomal RNA
Source: RNAcentral
UAGGGUGGACUAUCAGCUAGUUGUUAGGUAAUGGCUUAACAAGGCUGUGACGGGUAACGGUAUUACUUUGUAAUAUUCCGGAGAAGGAGCCUGAGAGACGGCUACUAAGUCAA